This 336-nucleotide unclassified non-coding RNA is filed under the name soil metagenome. RNAcentral's name for it is "partial contains 5.8S ribosomal RNA, internal transcribed spacer 2, and large subunit ribosomal RNA". The stretch from base 1 to 120 matches the Rfam family "5.8S ribosomal RNA", at positions 35 to 154 of the family's 154-position model. The record is from RNAcentral.
GAUGAAGAACGUAGCAAAAUGCGAUAAGUAAUGUGAAUUGCAGAAUUCCGUGAAUCAUCGAAUCUUUGAACGCACAUUGCGCCCCCUGGUAUUCCGGGGGGCAUGCCUGUCCGAGCGUCAUUGCAACCUUCAAGCGCGGCUUGUGUGUUGGGUCUCGUCCCCCGUGGACGGGCCCGAAAGGCAGUGGCGGCGUCCCGACAUGGUGCCUGAGCGUAUGGGAAUCCUCUUCCGCUCGAAUCGGCCCAUGCGGCGCUGGUCGUAACCAAAUUUUUUACCGGUUGACCUCGGAUCAGGUAGGGAUACCCGCUGAACUUAAGCAUAUCAAUAAGCGGAGGA